CAGGUUUAGGUCAUAAAAUACUGUAUGACAAAAAAAUACUGUAUGAGGUUUGUCAGGUUAGGUCAUAAAAUACUGGAUGAGGUUAGUCAGGUUAGGUCAUAAAAUACUGGAUGAGGUUUGUCAGGUUAGGUCAUAAAAUACUGGAUGAGGUUUGUCAGGUUAGGUCAUAAAAUACUGGAUGAGGUUUGUCAGGUUAGGUCAUAAAAUACUGGAUGAGGUUUGUCAGGUUAGGUCAUAAAAUACUGGAUGAGGUUUGUCAGGUUAGGUCAUAAAAUACUGGAUGAGGUUUGUCAGGUUAGGUCAUAAAAUACUGGAUGAGGUUUGUCAGGUUAGGUCAUAAAAUACUGGAUGAGGUUUGUCAGGUUAGGUCAUAAAAUACUGGAUGAGGUUUGUCAGGUUAGGUCGUAAAAUACUGGAUGAGGUUUGUCAGGUUAGGUCAUAAAAUACUGGAUGAGGUUUGUCAGGUUAGGUCAUAAAAUACUGUAUGAGGUUUGUCAGGUUAGGUCAUAAAAUACUGUAUGAGGUUUGUCAGGUUAGGUCAUAAAAUACUGUAUGCGGUUUGUCAGGUUAGGUCAUAAAAUACUGGAUGAGGUUUGUCAGGUUAGGUCAUAAAAUACUGGAUGAGGUUUGUCACGUUAGGUCAUAAAAUACUGGAUGAGGUUUGUCAGGUUAGGUCAUAAAAUACUGGAUGAGGUUUGUCAGGUUAGGUCAUAAAAUACUGUAUGAGGUUUGUCAGGUUAGGUCAUAAAAUACUGUAUGCGGUUUGUCAGGUUAGGUCAUAAAAUACUGGAUGAGGUUUGUCAGGUUAGGUCAUAAAAUACUGGAUGAGGUUUGAGGCGCAGGCACUGCUACUCUGUAACCCAUAGAGACUACAGUAUUGGUGGAAUAUAACGCGCCUGGGGCCAUUAAAGAACAUGCUCUAGUAGUCAGAGUCAACACAUUUUACAUAAACUUUCUAGACUCACUAGCUAGGCCAUAUAAUAUGUAUAGUAACACUGUGGAAUGCACAACUCCCUAAUGGUUUUGGGGAUAAUCUGCUCAGCAACAAUGUUUCCCAAGGAGUCCCUUAAUUACAACCGUCAGUCAGACCUCUCUCUUUCUCUAGACUCUGUUUACUCAUAGUACCUGUGAUUCACUGAGCAAACACACCCCUCUGUUUCCCUGUCCUGCAUCCAUGUGAACCUGUGUAGAGACACAGCAAUGAUUUAUAGACCAGUCUGAUUAGAAUUAGACUAAGUGUGUGUGUGUGUGUGUGUGUGUGUGUGUGUGUGUGUGUGUGUGUGUGUGUGUGUGUGUGUGUGUGUGUG
Molecule: long non-coding RNA, 1307 nt
Organism: Oncorhynchus keta (chum salmon)
Lineage: Eukaryota; Metazoa; Chordata; Actinopteri; Salmoniformes; Salmonidae
Exons: 3
Source: RefSeq, a predicted model, not a curated record